This 392-nucleotide ribosomal RNA is filed under the name Bordetella sp. COR259. RNAcentral describes it as "bacterial SSU rRNA". It matches the Rfam family "Bacterial small subunit ribosomal RNA", at positions 1007 to 1393 of the family's 1533-position model. The record is from RNAcentral. Lineage: Bacteria; Pseudomonadati; Pseudomonadota; Betaproteobacteria; Burkholderiales; Alcaligenaceae.
UUGGGAGUGCUCGCAAGAGAACCUGGGAACACAGUGUGCUGCAUGGCGUGUCGUCAGCUCUGUGUGCGUGAGAUGUUGGUGUUAAGUCCCGCAACGAGCGCAACCCUUGUCAUUAGUUGCUACGAAAGGGCACUCUAAUGAGACUGCCGGUGACAAACCGGAGGAAGGUGGGGAUGACGUGAAGUCCUCAUGGCCCUUAUGGGUAGGGCUUCACACGUCAUACAAUGGUCGGGACAGAGGGUCGCCAACCCGCGAGGGGGAGCCAAUCCCAGAAACCCGAUCGUCGUCCGGAUCGUUGCCAGUCUGCAACUCGACUGCGUGAAGUCGGAAUCGCUAGUAAUCGCGGAUCAGCAUGUCGCGGUGAAUACGUUCCCGGGUCUUGUACACACCGC